AGGACGAACGCUGGCGGCGCGCUUAACACAUGCAAGUCGAGCGAGCACCAGUCCUUCGGGACUGGGGACAGCGGCGAACGGGUGAGUAACACGUGGGUAAUCUGCCCUCGAUUCUGGGAUAGCCCGGGGAAACCCGGAUUAAUACCGGAUAGCCUCUCGAGCUUUCGAGCUUGUGAGAAAAGGUAGCUUCGGCCUCCGAUCGAGGAUGAGCCCGCGGCGGAUUAGCUUGUUGGUGGGGUAAUGGCCUACCAAGGCGACGAUCCGUAGCUGGUCUGAGAGGACGAUCAGCCACACUGGGACUGAGACACGGCCCAGACUCCUACGGGAGGCAGCAGUGGGGAAUCUUGCGCAAUGGGCGAAAGCCUGACGCAGCGACGCCGCGUGAGGGAUGACGGCCUUCGGGUUGUAAACCUCUUUCAGCCCUGACGAAGCGAAAGUGACGGUAGGGCGAGAAGAAGCACCGGCCAACUACGUGCCAGCAGCCGC
Molecule: ribosomal RNA, 486 nt
Filed under: uncultured bacterium
Lineage: Bacteria
Description: SSU rRNA
Rfam family: Bacterial small subunit ribosomal RNA
Source: RNAcentral